AAAACGGUCCUUUUCAGGACCAACCAAUCAUAAUGCAGUAUUACCG
Acyrthosiphon pisum (pea aphid) is the source of this 46-nucleotide non-coding RNA. NCBI's taxonomy places the organism in Eukaryota, Metazoa, Arthropoda, Insecta, Hemiptera, Aphididae. The record is from Rfam.